UACGGAGGGAGCUAGCGUGGUUCGGAGUUACUGGGCGUAAAGGGUGCGUAGGCGGUUGUUUAAGGUUGGUGUGAAAUCUCCCGGCUCAACUGGGAGGGUGCGCCGAAUACUGAAUGACUAGAGUGCGGGAGAGGAGAGUGGAAUUCCUGGUGUAGCGGUGAAAUGCGUAGAUAUCAGGAGGAACACCGGUGGUGUAGACGGCUCUCUGGACCGUAACUGACGCUGAGGCACGAAAGCGUGGGUAGCAAACAGG
Molecule: ribosomal RNA, 253 nt
Filed under: uncultured bacterium
Lineage: Bacteria
Description: partial 16S ribosomal RNA
Rfam family: Bacterial small subunit ribosomal RNA
Source: RNAcentral